AUGGUAAAACAGUUGGAGGGUGCUUGUCGAUUUGUCGCAAUGAAACUAAUAAUACAAGGGGGUGCUAUGGCCUCAACUGUUGCCAGGCCACUAUUCCUCCCAAUGUCCAGUCUUUUUAAGCAAAUAUGACAAACCCAAGUGGUGAGGUUGAUUGCAUAGGACGUAAGUCCGCCUUCAUGGUUUUCCAAGAUUCGUUUGAAUCAAGAAGCCUUGAUGAAGUUCUCCAAAGGGAUCAUGUCCCUGCAAUGAUAGAAUGGGCAAGAUUUCAAGGGAAUUGCGAUCUAAGCGAAACUAUAACCCCGUACAUCAAUUGUACCUCAGACUCCAAGUAUUGCUGGGCGCAGAUAAGCACAAAGCAAUUGUGUAUUUGCAGAAAUUGUCAAGAUGACCGCAAAUGCACAUCUGGACGGAGCUACAACUGUGAUCUGUUUUGUAUGCAUCCCCCGGGAGGCUACGACUGCUCUUGUCCAACUGAGAAUUAUGAAAAAAUUUCCAACAUUUGUUACCCAUCACAUCUCUUUUCAAACCAAAAAUCCCGGGCCAAGAUCAUCAUUAUAGGCUGUGCAUCAGGUCUUGGAUUACUGUUCUUUCUAAUUGGCUUAUGGUUGUUGUACAAGUUAAUAAUGAGAAGACGGGCAAUGAAACUCAAGCAAAAGUUUUUCAAAAGGAACGGUGGGCUAUUAUUCCAACAACAACUCUCCUCUGAGGGAAACAAUGUUGAUCAAACAAGAUUAUUUGCUAGCAACGAAUUGGAGAAUGCAACUGACCACUAUCAUGUGAAUAGAAUCCUUGGUCAAGGAGGUCAAGGAACAGUUUACAAAGGAAUGUUGACGGAUGGGAGAGUUGUUGCAAUUAAGAAAUCCAAAGUAGUAGAUGAAGACAAGCUUGAGCAAUUUAUCAAUGAGGUGUUAAUUUUAUCACAAAUCAACCAUAGAAAUAUUGUGAAGCUACUUGGAUGUUGUUUGGAGACAGAAGUUCCUCUACUUGUUUAUGAGUUCAUCCCUAAUGGAACACUCUUCCAAUAUAUACAUAAUCAAAAUGAAGAGUUUCCAGUUACAUGGGAAAUGCGUUUGCG
This 1075-nucleotide unclassified non-coding RNA is filed under the name Hevea brasiliensis (rubber tree). The record is from RNAcentral. Lineage: Eukaryota; Viridiplantae; Streptophyta; Magnoliopsida; Malpighiales; Euphorbiaceae.